GAUGAACGCUGGCGGCGUGCCUAAUACAUGCAAGUCGAGCGAACUUAACUAAAUGAAUGCGGUGCUUGCACCAAGUGAUUUUAGAGCGGUGAGCGGCGGAUGGGUGAGUAACACGUGGGUAACCUGCCUCUAAGCAGGGGAUAACAUUUGGAAACAGAUGCUAAUACCGUAUAAAUCCUAAAACCACAUGGUUUUAGGCUGAAAGGCGGCUUCGGCUGUCACUUAGAGAUGGACCCGCGGCGUAUUAGCUAGUUGGUGAGGUAAUGGCUCACCAAGGCAAUGAUACGUAGCCGAACUGAGAGGUUGAUCGGCCACAUUGGGACUGAGACACGGCCCAAACUCCUACGGGAGGCAGCAGUAGGGAAUCUUCCACAAUGGACGCAAGUCUGAUGGAGCAACGCCGCGUGAGUGAAGAAGGCUUUCGGGUCGUAAAACUCUGUUGUUGAAGAAGAACACGUUUGAGAGUAACUGUUCAGACGUUGACGGUAUUCAACCAGAAAGCCACGGCUAACUACGUGCCAGCCGCCGCCGUAACAC
This 537-nucleotide ribosomal RNA is filed under the name uncultured bacterium. RNAcentral's name for it is "bacterial SSU rRNA". It matches the Rfam family "Bacterial small subunit ribosomal RNA", at positions 28 to 526 of the family's 1533-position model. The record is from RNAcentral.